GAAAGAAUAUCGGAGACGGAUGGGCAUGCGGCGCAUUAGCUAGUUGGCGGGGUAACGGCCCACCAAGGCGACGAUGCGUAGGGGUUCUGAGAGGAAGGUCCCCCACACUGGUACUGAGACACGGACCAGACUCCUACGGGAGGCAGCAGUGAGGAAUAUUGGUCAAUGGGCGAGAGCCUGAACCAGCCAAGUCGCGUGAGGGAGUACUGCCCUAUGGGUUGUAAACCUCUUUUGUCGGGGAGCAAAAGCCGGACGUGUCCGGCUGUGAGAGUACCCGAAGAAAAAGCAUCGGCUAACUCCGUGCCAGCAGCCGCGGUAAUACGGAGGAUGCGAGCGUUAUCCGGAUUUAUUGGGUUUAAAGGGUGCGCAGGCGGAUUUUUAAGUCAGCGGUCAAAUCGUGGGGCUCAACCCCAUCCAGCCGUUGAAACUGGGGAUCUAGAGUGUGCGAGAGGUAUGCGGAAUGCGUGGUGUAGCGGUGAAAUGCAUAGAUAUCACGCAGAACCCCGAUUGCGAAGGCAGCAUACCGGUGCACAACUGACGCUCAGGCACGAAAGCGUGGGUAUCGAACAGGAUUAGAUACCCUGGUAGUCCACGCAGUAAACGAUGAAUACUACCUGUUUGGCCAGAUUGAAGGCUGA
This 638-nucleotide ribosomal RNA is filed under the name uncultured bacterium. RNAcentral's name for it is "bacterial SSU rRNA". It matches the Rfam family "Bacterial small subunit ribosomal RNA", at positions 202 to 842 of the family's 1533-position model. The record is from RNAcentral.